This 253-nucleotide ribosomal RNA is filed under the name uncultured bacterium. RNAcentral's name for it is "partial 16S ribosomal RNA". It matches the Rfam family "Bacterial small subunit ribosomal RNA", at positions 524 to 776 of the family's 1533-position model. The record is from RNAcentral.
UACGUAGGGGGCAAGCGUUGUCCGGAUUUAUUGGGCGUAAAGAGCGUGUAGGCGGCCAUGCAGGUCCGUUGUGAAAACUCGAGGCUCAACCUCGAGACGCCGGUGGAAACCGUGUGGCUAGAGUCCGGAAGAGGAGAGUGGAAUUCCUGGUGUAGCGGUGAAAUGCGUAGAGAUGCGGAGGAACACCGAUGGCGAAGGCAGCCCCCUGGGCUAGCACUGACGCUCAGGCACGAAAGCGUGGGGAGCAAACAGG